RNAcentral lists this ribosomal RNA (484 nucleotides) under uncultured bacterium. Its description in RNAcentral is "partial 16S ribosomal RNA". It matches the Rfam family "Bacterial small subunit ribosomal RNA", at positions 30 to 507 of the family's 1533-position model. The record is from RNAcentral.
AUUGAACGCUGGCGUCAGGCCUAACACAUGCAAGUCGAGCGGAUGAAGGGAGCUUGCUCCUGGAUUCAGCGGCGGACGGGUGAGUAAUGCCUAGGAAUCUGCCUGGUAGUGGGGGAUAACGUCCGGAAACGGGCGCUAAUACCGCAUACGUCCUGAGGGAGAAAGUGGGGGAUCUUCGGACCUCACGCUACCAGAUGAGCCUAGGUCGGAUUAGCUAGUUGGUGGGGUAAAGGCCUACCAAGGCGACGAUCCGUAACUGGUCUGAGAGGAUGAUCAGUCACACUGGAACUGAGAUACGGUCCAGACUCCUACGGGAGGCAGCAGUGGGGAAUAUUGGACAAUGGGCGAAAGCCUGAUCCAGCCAUGCCGAGUGUGUGAAGAAGGUCUUCGGAUUGUAAAGCACUUUAAGUUGGGAGGAAGGGCAGUAAGUUAAUACCUUGCUGUUUUGACGUUACCAACAGAAUAAGCACCGGCUAACUUCGUG